This is a long non-coding RNA of Ipomoea nil (Japanese morning glory), 278 nucleotides long. RefSeq lists it as uncharacterized. Lineage: Eukaryota; Viridiplantae; Streptophyta; Magnoliopsida; Solanales; Convolvulaceae. The transcript has 4 exons. The record is from RefSeq and is a predicted model, not a curated record.
GUGAAAAUUGGUAGGCCUGGCUAUAGGGUGACAAAACAGUUUGAUCCAGAGACAAAACAAAGAUCUCUCCUUUUUCAGAUUGAAUAUCCUGAGAUUGAAGACAAUACAAAGCCGAGGCAUAGAUUUAUGUCCUCCUUUGAGCAGAAAAUCCAGCCAUUUGACAAAAGAUAUCAAUAUCUUUUGUUUGCUGCAGAACCAUAUGAGAUCAUUUCUUUUAAGGUACCAAGCACAGAGAUUGACAAGUCAACUCCAAAUCCGGCCGCCGGCUCUGUUCAUCG